This 28-nucleotide small RNA is filed under the name Bombyx mori (domestic silkworm). RNAcentral's name for it is "ovarian small RNA-33759". Lineage: Eukaryota; Metazoa; Arthropoda; Insecta; Lepidoptera; Bombycidae. The record is from RNAcentral.
UGCCGAAAAUCACCGCAUAAAAGUAUUG